RNAcentral lists this long non-coding RNA (1909 nucleotides) under Gossypium barbadense (sea-island cotton). RNAcentral's name for it is "long non-coding RNA (GBAR_LNC010170)". Lineage: Eukaryota; Viridiplantae; Streptophyta; Magnoliopsida; Malvales; Malvaceae. The record is from RNAcentral.
CGAGUUCUACUUAAAGCAGAUAAUAAACAUAACAACUAAAAAUCCCCAAACUAAAACAAAAUCCAAAGAGGCCUUAUUACAAAAUUUAAAACCCAAAUUAGAAUUUAAAAUAGAAUUAGAGUCCAAGUAAUCGUAUGGCCAUCUCCGAGUCCCUCGCAGCACCGAUUCACUAACACUGGGGAUUACCUAAAAAAAUAAAAGACGGGGUGAGUUUGGAAAACUCAAUGUGUAAAGUAUCCCAACCAGAGCCCAAAUCAGUUCAAGCUUUACUGGACCUAAGCCCUAUUCAGAAAUCAUAGUUAACUGGGCCUUAGCCCAUAUCAAUAUUAAUCUGGGCUAUAGCCCUAUUACAAGUUGAGAUAUAUUGGGCAUUGCCCAUAUUAACACAGUUGGGCCCAUUUCAAUACAAUUGGCCCAUAACAAAAUAGUCUCAUAGGAUUAAUGCAUGAUAACCCCAUCCAACCCUGCACUUGCCUCCGUCCAUCCCUACACUUCCUGUGGGGAAUAAAUCACCCACGCCAUCCCUACACUUACAGUCUUAGCACCAGUUGUGGCACUAACUAUAAUCCGCAGCGAAGCUGCUUAUAUCAGAAUAUGUGGCAAAGCCACCAGAACGGGUUCUUCCUCUAUAACAAAACCCAACCCCAUGUAGUAUGACAUGUAUGUAGAAUAUAUAUAAUUAAAAAGGCAUGCUUCAGAAAGACAGUCAAAUUAUAGCGUAAGAACAGUUAUUUACCCUCGAGGGGCGUAAUCGUAAACUUACCCCUUUAAGGGUAUUACGGUAAUUCUACCUUACAGAGGUAUUUCAGUAAUUUUAUCAGUCUUUUUAGGGUUUCAUGCUCAUUACAAUUAUUAACUUGUCUUCAGAAUACUUACUGGACGUUUUUACCGAAAUGGGCCUGUUGCCCAUUACCCAAUUUCGGCCCAUCGAAGCCCAAAUUCACCGAGGUGCACGAAAUUGCGCACUUUGCAAUCUUACCGUUGAAGAUACCAAAAUUAUCAAUACAAACAAUCCCACGAGCACUCACACGCUCGCAAGUUCUCGAAAUGCCAACUUUUCGGCAUUUCGGCUUUUCGGCUUUUGCCGAUCUAGUCUACUAGUGGGUGUCGUUUACACACCUGUUUUUCGAUGAAAUGAUGAUGAGUUCCACACACGAGCAGCCUUUAUCGAUCUCCAACUACCAGAUCUAGAUGCUCUAACAGUAUCAACCCUCUAUGCUUUUUGCUUGCUUGUCCUUAAAUCCACACUAAAUACAUAUGAAACCAAAAGAAGAGGCUAUUAAAGCCUUCAGUCUAAAACGACAGUCUCCCUAAGUGAUUAAGGACUUGUCGGCUUUUCAUAAUAAACCCGAAAUAACAAAUAGACAGAAAGAUCUGAUCACUUACCGAGGAUCUACUUGCCAGAAACGUUCCGAAGUACCUUCCUAUUCCAGAUUUGUUGUAGAUCAAAUACCCAAAAUACAAGGAGAGAACAGAUCUAAUGAUUCGGCUUUUAGAACCUAUUCUGAGGUAUGCUUAAUUCGGUUUAAGAAGAAAAUAGAAGAAUAACGAAGAAAAAGAAUAGAGGAUUAGGCUAAGGAGUAAAGUCAACUAUCACGUAGUGUGGUUCAGCUUUUCGAAGGGUAAUCGGUUAGCAAUAGUUUGAGAGAGAUCGGUGGAAGAAAAAGAAAAGAGAAAAAAUUUUAAGAAUAGAAAUAGAAGAUUUAGGCUUCGGCAAAGAAAAGAAAGAUGGAUCAAAAGGAAUGAAAGUUGAUAAAAUAAAAUAAAAAAUAUGAUAAGAGAAUUUAAGCUGAAAAAAAUAAACAAACAAUUCAUCCUAGCCAAAAUUUGAGAGCUAUUUCGGCAUCUAAUUGCCCAAAGUCGAAUGAGUUCUAUUUCGGCACCACCGUCCUUCCCAUAUUCAAAUUCC